CCGGCUACAUUACCCGGUGAUCAUCUGUUACUCAGGAGAUGACGACGAGGGUGAUGGGGGUAACAUCACCGCUCAAGGGUGACAUAUAGUGACGAUGGUGACGGUAGUUCGCCGGUGGUCAGCAGCCACAUCUUUGAGUGACGACUAGGGUUCCGAAGAACGAACCGGGUGAUGUGAUGGGGUAACGACUUCAGUCAAGGUAAGGUAACGGAGGAUCGAAGGUGGUAUACGAAGUGUCAUCCGCAUUUUCCGCCUGCUCUUCUCCUCUACUCCUCCGGCAAGGGACUCCUUAUCACUUUUCGAGGUGCGGUUGCUCUAUUCCCUGCUAUUUCUCUCAACUGGUAUGUUUUUUUUCUUUUGUCUUUAUCUGAUUUAGAGCUUCAUACGUCUUUAAUAAUUGGAUGGUUAUAAAAAAGUUUCAUGCAAAUAUAUGUAUUGAAUAUGGUUAUAUGCAAUUCAUUUAACUGUUUUAUGUAUUUUGGAAUGUUACUUUGAUGAGCAAUUACGGACCAUCUGAAAGAUAAAGAAAGGGUUCCGGCCACGAUUCUGACCGGAUGUCGCUUAUAUGGAGAUAGUCGUGCACGAUUAGUUGGUUUGUUUAUUUAAAUACUCAUAUACAUCUCGCCUCUGAUUGGGUUCAGAUCUUUUUUAUUCGUGUCAUAGGUCUGAUUGCAAGGGUUUUUUCUUUUCGUAUUCUGAUUUGGUUCAGGUGCAUUGCCUCCAUUUCAGUUCAGCUAUUUGAGAAAUAGGAAAUCAUUAUCUGAGUUUUGGCGGGAUUGUCCUAUUCUGGCUGAUAAUUCAAAGGAGCAUAAUUGCAUGCCUUAUGAACAUUAUACCGCAACAUUACUUGCACAAAAAGGCCUUGAAGGAGAACCCACAAAUAGGAGUUUAACUCACACUUCAUGGGUAUCUCAUCAAGCAAAGGUCGUGAAAGGCAAGGAUGGCAUCCUAUGACGGCCAAAUCUACAAAUUUGUUGUUGCUACUCCCAUUAUUCAUUCAAUGGUCUCAUUCACACUUGAUCACAAUAAGGUGGUUCAUGACGAGUGCCCACCUACCGAAUAAAAGAAGCAAGUUAGUACACAGAGUCUUCCCUCGCCCAAUUAACCUGCUUUGCUUCGCUCGCUUCCAUUUUGUUUCUAUACUUUAUUGGUCUUAUAAUACAUUUUGUUUAUAUUCAUGGUAGUUGUUGAUAUUUUUACUUAGCGUUAAAGUUUAUGUAUAAGAAAUCUAUGAUGUUAAUAAUGGCAGACUGGUUGUAAUCUA
RNA transcript from Helianthus annuus (common sunflower), 1264 nucleotides. It is a transcript of the gene named glycosyltransferase BC10-like, with no coding region annotated. The transcript has 6 exons. Lineage: Eukaryota; Viridiplantae; Streptophyta; Magnoliopsida; Asterales; Asteraceae. The record is from RefSeq and is a predicted model, not a curated record.